This 2606-nucleotide ribosomal RNA is filed under the name Klebsiella pneumoniae. Its description in RNAcentral is "partial 23S ribosomal RNA". It matches the Rfam family "Bacterial large subunit ribosomal RNA", at positions 212 to 2839 of the family's 2925-position model. The record is from RNAcentral. Lineage: Bacteria; Pseudomonadati; Pseudomonadota; Gammaproteobacteria; Enterobacterales; Enterobacteriaceae.
CGAGGAAAAGAAAUCAACCGAGAUUCCCCCAGUAGCGGCGAGCGAACGGGGAGCAGCCCAGAGUCUGAAUCAGCUUGUGUGUUAGUGGAACGGUCUGGAAAGUCCGACGGUACAGGGUGAUAGUCCCGUACACCAAAAUGCACAGGCUGUGAACUCGAAGAGUAGGGCGGGACACGUGGUAUCCUGUCUGAAUAUGGGGGGACCAUCCUCCAAGGCUAAAUACUCCUGACUGACCGAUAGUGAACCAGUACCGUGAGGGAAAGGCGAAAAGAACCCCGGCGAGGGGAGUGAAAAAGAACCUGAAACCGUGUACGUACAAGCAGUGGGAGCACCUUCGGGUGUGACUGCGUACCUUUUGUAUAAUGGGUCAGCGACUUAUAUUCUGUAGCAAGGUUAACCGUAUAGGGGAGCCGCAGGGAAACCGAGUCUUAACUGGGCGUUAAGUUGCAGGGUAUAGACCCGAAACCCGGUGAUCUAGCCAUGGGCAGGUUGAAGGUUGGGUAACACUAACUGGAGGACCGAACCGACUAAUGUUGAAAAAUUAGCGGAUGACUUGUGGCUGGGGGUGAAAGGCCAAUCAAACCGGGAGAUAGCUGGUUCUCCCCGAAAGCUAUUUAGGUAGCGCCUCGUGAAUUCAUCUUCGGGGGUAGAGCACUGUUUCGGCUAGGGGGUCAUCCCGACUUACCAACCCGAUGCAAACUACGAAUACCGAAGAAUGUUAUCACGGGAGACACACGGCGGGUGCUAACGUCCGUCGUGAAGAGGGAAACAACCCAGACCGCCAGCUAAGGUCCCAAAGUCAUGGUUAAGUGGGAAACGAUGUGGGAAGGCACAGACAGCCAGGAUGUUGGCUUAGAAGCAGCCAUCAUUUAAAGAAAGCGUAAUAGCUCACUGGUCGAGUCGGCCUGCGCGGAAGAUGUAACGGGGCUAAACCAUGCACCGAAGCUGCGGCAGCGACACUAUGUGUUGUUGGGUAGGGGAGCGUUCUGUAAGCCUGCGAAGGUGACCUGUGAGGGUUGCUGGAGGUAUCAGAAGUGCGAAUGCUGACAUAAGUAACGAUAAAGCGGGUGAAAAGCCCGCUCGCCGGAAGACCAAGGGUUCCUGUCCAACGUUAAUCGGGGCAGGGUGAGUCGACCCCUAAGGCGAGGCCGAAAGGCGUAGUCGAUGGGAAACAGGUUAAUAUUCCUGUACUUGGUGUUACUGCGAAGGGGGGACGGAGAAGGCUAUGUUAGCCGGGCGACGGUUGUCCCGGUUUAAGCAUGUAGGCUGGUUAUCCAGGCAAAUCCGGAUAAUCAAGGCUGAGGUGUGAUGACGAGGCACUACGGUGCUGAAGUAACAAAUGCCCUGCUUCCAGGAAAAGCCUCUAAGCAUCAGGUAACAUCAAAUCGUACCCCAAACCGACACAGGUGGUCAGGUAGAGAAUACCAAGGCGCUUGAGAGAACUCGGGUGAAGGAACUAGGCAAAAUGGUGCCGUAACUUCGGGAGAAGGCACGCUGGUGUGUAGGUGAAGUCCCUGCGGAUGGAGCUGAGACCAGUCGAAGAUACCAGCUGGCUGCAACUGUUUAUUAAAAACACAGCACUGUGCAAACACGAAAGUGGACGUAUACGGUGUGACGCCUGCCCGGUGCCGGAAGGUUAAUUGAUGGGGUUAUCCGUAAGGAGAAGCUCUUGAUCGAAGCCCCGGUAAACGGCGGCCGUAACUAUAACGGUCCUAAGGUAGCGAAAUUCCUUGUCGGGUAAGUUCCGACCUGCACGAAUGGCGUAAUGAUGGCCAGGCUGUCUCCACCCGAGACUCAGUGAAAUUGAACUCGCUGUGAAGAUGCAGUGUACCCGCGGCAAGACGGAAAGACCCCGUGAACCUUUACUAUAGCUUGACACUGAACAUUGAGCCUUGAUGUGUAGGAUAGGUGGGAGGCUUUGAAGCGUGGACGCCAGUCUGCGUGGAGCCAACCUUGAAAUACCACCCUUUAAUGUUUGAUGUUCUAACGUUGGCCCCUGACCGGGGUUGCGGACAGUGUCUGGUGGGUAGUUUGACUGGGGCGGUCUCCUCCCAAAGCGUAACGGAGGAGCACGAAGGUUAGCUAAUCCUGGUCGGACAUCAGGAGGUUAGUGCAAUGGCAUAAGCUAGCUUGACUGCGAGCGUGACGGCGCGAGCAGGUGCGAAAGCAGGUCAUAGUGAUCCGGUGGUUCUGAAUGGAAGGGCCAUCGCUCAACGGAUAAAAGGUACUCCGGGGAUAACAGGCUGAUACCGCCCAAGAGUUCAUAUCGACGGCGGUGUUUGGCACCUCGAUGUCGGCUCAUCACAUCCUGGGGCUGAAGUAGGUCCCAAGGGUAUGGCUGUUCGCCAUUUAAAGUGGUACGCGAGCUGGGUUUAGAACGUCGUGAGACAGUUCGGUCCCUAUCUGCCGUGGGCGCUGGAGAAUUGAGGGGGGCUGCUCCUAGUACGAGAGGACCGGAGUGGACGCAUCACUGGUGUUCGGGUUGUCAUGCCAAUGGCACUGCCCGGUAGCUAAAUGCGGAAGAGAUAAGUGCUGAAAGCAUCUAAGCACGAAACUUGCCCCGAGAUGAGUUCUCCCUGAGACUUUAAGUCUCCUGAAGGAACGUU